This 484-nucleotide ribosomal RNA is filed under the name uncultured bacterium. RNAcentral describes it as "partial 16S ribosomal RNA". It matches the Rfam family "Bacterial small subunit ribosomal RNA", at positions 29 to 507 of the family's 1533-position model. The record is from RNAcentral.
AUUGAACGCUGGCGGCAUGCUUUACACAUGCAAGUCGAACGGCAGCGCGGGCUUCGGCCUGGCGGCGAGUGGCGAACGGGUGAGUAAUACAUCGGAACGUGCCCAGUAGUGGGGGAUAGCUCGGCGAAAGCCGGAUUAAUACCGCAUACGACCUGAGGGUGAAAACGGGGGAUCUUCGGACCUCGCGCUAUUGGAGCGGCCGAUGGCAGAUUAGCUAGUUGGUGGGGUAAAGGCCUACCAAGGCGACGAUCUGUAGCUGGUCUGAGAGGACGACCAGCCACACUGGGACUGAGACACGGCCCAGACUCCUACGGGAGGCAGCAGUGGGGAAUUUUGGACAAUGGGCGAAAGCCUGAUCCAGCAAUGCCGCGUGUGUGAUGAAGGCCUUCGGGUUGUAAAGCACUUUUGGCGGGAACGAAAAGGACUGUGCCAAUACCACGGUUCGAUGACGGUACCCGCAGAAUAAGCACCGGCUAACUACGUG